GGAGAGAUACUUCUACAUCUUUUAUAUUCUCACAUCAUGUACUAAUCCAUAUCCAAUACAACAAAAGAAGAACAGUGUUCUUUCAACUAUUCAUAAAGAACCACACUUUCAAUAGAAUAGAAACGCACAAGUAAACAAGUAACUGAUUGCUUCUGCUUUGAACAUACAUCUCUCCCUAUACUUAACGGGAACACAGUAAACAAGAACUUCCUCUGCAUUCUAACCAAGCAAAGAAGGGCCAUGCCUUGGAGACCAAAAAGGAUUUUGGUCUUGGAAAGAGGAUGACUCAGAUCUCAGCUUAUUUCCAUUGCUUUCACUGCCAAAAUCAUGGGAGAAAGGAUUAUUAUUUCCAAAGCACUUGUUACUGCUGCUGUAAGCAAAGAGAUUUGGGUGAAAAUUCUCAUGAUCAUCAUUGUCAUC
RNAcentral lists this unclassified non-coding RNA (420 nucleotides) under Hevea brasiliensis (rubber tree). The record is from RNAcentral. Lineage: Eukaryota; Viridiplantae; Streptophyta; Magnoliopsida; Malpighiales; Euphorbiaceae.